UACGUAGGCAGCAAGCGUUGUUCGGAAUCACUGGGCGUAAAGGGCGUGUAGGCGGUUUGGUAAGUGAGAUGUGAAAUGCUCCGGCUCACCCGGGGACCUGCAUCUCAAACUGCCGGACUAGAGUAUGGGAGAGGAUGAGGGAAUUCCUGGUGUAGCGGUGAAAUGCGUAGAUAUCAGGAGGAACGCCGGUGGCGAAAGCGGCGCGCUGGGCCUGUCCUGACGCUGAGAUGCGAAAGCCAGGGGAGCAAAC
This 250-nucleotide ribosomal RNA is filed under the name uncultured bacterium. Its description in RNAcentral is "partial 16S ribosomal RNA". It matches the Rfam family "Bacterial small subunit ribosomal RNA", at positions 524 to 773 of the family's 1533-position model. The record is from RNAcentral.